UGGACUAGGGGUCCAUUUAUUUCAUAUGAUGAAAAAUCCUUACAUCAAGCCCAAAUAAGCAAAGAUGAAGAAGGCCCAAAAUAGGAAAGUUCUCCACUUUCGUUGCUCUAUAUCCUCUGCCUCCAUUUCCAUUCUCCUCUACUGUACCUCCAUAUCUCUUGUUCCUUUUUCUUUGUUUUUGAUUUUUCUCCACCUCUAGGUCAUCAGUAUUCUGCAUCCAUGGAUUGUGAAGCGAUUUAACAGCUCACAAAGAUGUGCAUCCCGAUAGAGGCGUUUGGAAUUUUGUGGAGCUUUUUGUUGGUAUUGAACCAUGAAUCUCUUUCUAAAGGACUGCCGAAUCAAGAGGCUACCGUUCGUUAAUCUUGAGGAUUACCUGACUCUCUUGCUAAUGUAAGUUUUCUUAUUAUGAUGAACUCGCUGGUCAAUUUUACCUGGAGUAAUUGAGUUAACUUUUCUGAUUUUAUCUCCUCUCCAUUGAUUGCUUUGUUUAUUUGCUUACUUUUUAUUCAAGUUAUGUAUUAUGUUAUUAUUCUUUAUUUGUGUUCUAAUUUUGUGCCAGUAUAAUUUUUGACAAUCACACUAGUUGACGUUUAUUCUAAUUAGUUCAUCUACCCUUCAUUCAAGAUUUGAUAGAAUCCAUCCUGGUAUAGUUGUUAGUGGGAGAUCUCAAAAAUUCAUAUAUUUCAAUUCAAAUUAUCCUUUACUAAACGUCGGUGUAUUAUUCAAUUCAAAUUAUCUUUACUAUACAUCGGUGUAUAAUUUUUAUUACAUGUGAUCCAAAAAAAGCUUAUAUUUUGACCAUUG
Solanum lycopersicum (tomato) is the source of this 804-nucleotide long non-coding RNA. RefSeq lists it as uncharacterized. Lineage: Eukaryota; Viridiplantae; Streptophyta; Magnoliopsida; Solanales; Solanaceae. The record is from RefSeq and is a predicted model, not a curated record.